UGUCACAUUUAUGUCUGUUCCAAAUGUAAAUUAUAGUAUUCAUUCUUAUGUGAAUGGGAAUGAAAAACAAGAGAUACUCUUUCUGGAAAUAUAUAUUAUUUUAACUCCUAAGGAAGUUCUUUAUGAAGCCUCCCGAAUUUGAUUUAUUUAUUUAUUUCCUUUUUACACGCAGAAGAAGAUCACUUUAAUUUAGAAAACAAUCAACACAAACUUACUUUGCCCCUUUUUACAUCAUGUUUUCGUUGCGAUCCUUGAUACUGUGGAAAAUUGCAGACAAAUUUGGUUGAUGAGACUGCAAUUGCGGUUGCGGUCGUGAUGAGGUUGUGGUGAUUCCAAAAACCUACACCAAGGUUUUAAAGUGGUUCACAAUCAUGGUAUGAUGCGGUUGUUGUGGCCAAUGCAAUUGAGAUGCUGGCAUUUGCAAUUUAAAAUCCAGAAUUGAAUAUUGUCAGUUAAGGCUUGGUGAUGUUUAGUUUGAUGAUCUAGGAAGGGAUGGAUUAACGCAUAACAUGCUGGAGUUGAUACAUUCGCAUUGGAAGCGUCGCCGAGUCUGUAAAAUUCGUUGUUUAGGAAUUCCAACGGUAGAUACGGAUAAUGUUUGCCAUCAUAUUGAGGAGAAGACGGGGGAAAAUAAUUCAUCGAGUUGGUGGUGUAUUUUAUCUUUUCCGUGGCAGAAAUUACAACUAUAGUGCCCAUCCACAGUAUCCAGUGAUGCUCUGGAAGCCAGCUGCUCUUGUUUACCCAAAACUUAUACAGGAUGCUCCGGGAGGAUUAACAAAAGAUGAAGCUGAUGAAUUACGGAGGAAUGGGAAAAACCUGUUACCAAUAUGUAAAUUAGGUGAACAUCUAUUGGGGUUUCAUAUUUGUCUUUCUAAUGCACAAACACACACAUAGCAUGAAGAAAUUUGACGAUUUAUUGUACCCUUUGUCUUGCCUUGAGUAACUGAAGUCACAGAAGUUGAGGCAAGGCUUUUUCUAAACUCAAACUCUUUAGGCUUUAAAUAUUUUAAAUGUGUCUGAAAUACAUUUUGGUGCCAUUAAUAGCUGUCUGAGUUCUGCAACACUAUUAACAAGUCAUUAGGAUUAAUAAUUUAUAGAAUUGGUUCAGAAUAUAAAGGAAAGAAUGAUUUCUUAUUGUUGAACCCUAAAUCUCAAUUAUUGUUAGAAGAUACGAAAUAAAUGAUUUCCCUCUAUAUUAUUCUCCUCACUCUCUAAGAGUCUACCUUUCUCAAAUGAUAAGAUGAUUUCUCUAUCACCCUCCCCUCUCUAUUUAUGGGCAAUAUGCCUUAUUUUUUCUACCUAACUAACUAACUCCCUCACUAACAGACACCUAAUUAACUACUAAUUGGUAUCUAUCAAUAAUAUUGAAGUAUCACUGCCUGUAAGGUCUGAAAAGAAGGAAACGUAGUUAGGACAGUUACUGCAACUAAGUUAAGGGAAUCAGUUAAAUAAAUAUGGGAGAAUAAAGAUGAAAAGAUUCAUUCAGAGAAUUAGACCAUGUGUAUGGAAGAGGAAACCCUUUGUAUAGGGGAAGCUCUUGGAAGAGAAUUCUUUUCCUGUUCUCAGUCAUUCUAUAAAUUUUUCAUUGUUUGUAUCUAUCAUUCAAUUUUCUUUCAUGGGUUCAUGACAAUUGGUCUGACCUUCUGGAUCUUAUUGGGGAAGAAAUGGAGAAUUUGAUGGUGCUCUUGAAGAAAUGACCAGUGAUCAGGGGCUACAGCCUCAUUGGAUUCCUGAAUUUCUGAGAUUAGAGUAUUGAUAGAAUUGAAGAGCUUAAAUAGAUACUUCAUAAGUUGCUGAGGAAGUAGGGAAUUGAUCCUGAGGAGGAAAAGGCGAAAGCACAAACAUGGUGAGGACCUGCUUCAUCACAAUUGAACAAGAACAAGGAAAAUGUGGGAGGAUGUUCAGAGUUUGCCAAUGAUGAAUCUUGUUCUUGGGUUAAGACAGUCAUAGUUUCAAUGGAAGUGGUGCAUUGGGUUGGAUGUCGGAACAGCAAGAAACAAAUGCAUAACAAGAUUGGCCAUUCAAUAAGGUGCUAGAAAAACAAGAAACAAAAGCAGAACCGGUUAGUAACAGGGAUGACCCAGUGGCAGAGUUGAUAGAGGCAGAAGUCAUAGAUGCAGAUGCAACAAUUGAUCACAAUUUCCAAAUCUCAGAUUUGGUGAGGAUAAAAGAACUUCAGAAAGAACUUGUUUCAAUGAAAUGGAAAUUACUGGAAUCAUGACACUGUCCUUAAAAUCAUGACACUCUAGUUGAGGCUUGUGUUAACAAAAAUUACAAAAAAAAAAAUAAGUUUGGAAACUAGUUGUGUGAAACAAAUUCAGUUUUUAAAAUAGAUUCAGUCCUUAAAACAAAAUUGAAACCGAAAGACUAGGAAUACAAUGAAACAAUUUUCAUGUGACUAUUUCCUUAAUUAUAUAUGUUACAUCCAUGUCAGUUUAUUUAACCACAGUAAUAUGUGAGAGGAUUUGUAUUACAUAUUGUGACAUAUUAGCUUUGACAGUUUUAUGUGUAAGUGGCUGGAGCAGUGCAACUAUGUUUCGUGGCAUUGAUGUGAUUUUUCGUGUCAAAGCAGAAGCAAAUAACUCUAGCUUUCGUGUUAGAAUCGAUGUGAUUUCACUGCUUCAAAUGGGUGUCAAAACGCGCUGUGACAUGCAGCAAGUACUUUUCAAAGGCUAUCUUCCAUGAAUGCCUGCACUUUUUUUGGAGGGUGUAUUCUUUCCAUGUCUUUAAAUAUCUUUGGUUAUUGGGUUUUUCAUGCUCAAGCAUGUGCUUAAUCUUGUGUAUCCUCUAUAAGUACAUACAGGAUAAAAUAUUGACAACUUAUUUAAUGCUCUGUUUGCUUUAAUUUCAUUGCCCCUUGUUAUGAGGUAAGCAAUUGUUUGAAAAUAAAUUCAUUCAUGAUCAAUUGUAUGAGAAUUGUAUGAGGUAAGCAAUUGUAUGAGAAUAAAUUGAUUUAUGAUUUACAUUUUUCGUGUAAUGCUGCAUAUAUGCGCCUCGGUAUGGAACCAACUUGAGAUGGACAAUGGAGAAUUGCUGCUUCUCCCGGAACUACUAGCUUCUUUUUCUACUAAGAUUGGCAAAACGGUCCAUUCCCAUAAUAACAGAGCCAACAUUUUCAACUAACGGUACUUGCCAUCAAGCAUAUUCAUUUAUCACUAGUGAAGCCCAUGCUAUUUGGACUUCAUAGUAGUCCAAUGUUGUAAGUGUUGAUGAGGAUCAAUCAAAGGUGGAAAGGUUUUCUUUAAAGAAAAAGGGAGCUGGACCGAAGAGUUGAAUUGGCUAAUGCAGAUGUAGAUUUGCACCUAUUGAAUGAUGUUGAGAGAGAGAUAAUUGCCGAAGGAGAAGAAACACGGACUUCAAGGGCAUGAAGAUGAAGAAUGUUAUGAUUUUUUUUAGCUUUGUUACCUAUUCUCUUAUGUAUUCUUUCUUUUAGCUAGUGUUCUAGAUUGAUCUAGACUAUCAAGAAAUGUGAUUGUCAAGGAAAAAUAGCUUGACUGGUAUUCUAAUAUGAUAUGAGACAUGUUAAUAGUAGUUGAGUUGACUAGAAAUUUCUAGAUAAAUGA
Long non-coding RNA from Glycine soja, 3563 nucleotides. RefSeq lists it as uncharacterized. NCBI's taxonomy places the organism in Eukaryota, Viridiplantae, Streptophyta, Magnoliopsida, Fabales, Fabaceae. The record is from RefSeq and is a predicted model, not a curated record. The transcript is spliced from 4 exons.